This 72-nucleotide transfer RNA is filed under the name Ixodes scapularis (black-legged tick). It matches the Rfam family "tRNA". Rfam says of the family: Transfer RNA (tRNA) molecules are approximately 80 nucleotides in length. Their secondary structure includes four short double-helical elements and three loops (D, anti-codon, and T loops). The record is from Rfam by way of RNAcentral. Lineage: Eukaryota; Metazoa; Arthropoda; Arachnida; Ixodida; Ixodidae.
CCUGGUUAGCUCAGUUGGUAGAGCGCUCCACUUGUAAUGGAGAGGUCCCGGGUUCAAUACCCGGAACCAGGC